UUAAAAUGCAGACAAAGUUUAAAAAGCAAUAGAAGAGAGUUGCAGAAAAUCCAGAUUAAUAGUUAAAAGUUGAAAUAGUUUAUCCUCUUACACAGGGGUAUUAAUUACAAAGAGCAUCCUCAGUCUCAUUUGCAGAGUUUCCCUUUCACUAUCUGGAACUGAAGCAGUAGAUUAAUGAGAGAGGCUGGGAAGGUGCCACCUUGUAAGGAGCUGCAUGGAAAUGAACCACUUAAAAUGCACAAACAAGUUUUAUUGCAACUGCCAAACCUAGGAACCAUGUAACAUCCUACUAUAGAAUAUACUGUAACUAAUGACAUCAACUAUUUACACACAUUUAUUGUGUUGUUGUGUUUUGUUUUCAGAUCUCCAUAUAUAGGUGAACAUUUUGAAUUUUUUGCUAAAGAUUUCCAAAUUAACAUCUAAAGGAUUUUUUAUUUUCCUUUAUGUAUUCUCUCUGGGUUAUAUCGGUGCUACAGGGCUACUCAGCCCAUGCUGUAGCGAUUCCUGCUUAGAUGUUAUUAAUACAGUGCAGGAGAGGAUGGUAGAUACGAGUCUUGUAGAAAUGAAGCUAAUGCUGAGACUCACUGUUUUCAUUUCCCUGUGCUUUUGCAUUUAGAUUUCAUAGCACUGAAAGUCUUGGUGGGCAUAGUGUGGAUGGCUUGAUGGUGGAAAUGGAAGAUCUUGGUGGUCUUUUCCAACCUUUAUGAUUCUUUGUGAUUCCUGAGAGGAAAAAACACCAUUCCUGUUCACAGUGAAGGAGCCACAGUCCACCACCUCCAGGGUCAAGGCUUUGCCACCACCGCAGGGCAUGGAGUGCCAUAAGUAGUGCUGAAUGGAGCAAGGAGGAGGAGAUGGCCGCACACAUAGCAUGGAAGCUUUGACUAAUGUUCCUGCUUUUGGCAUUGAGCACCUGAUCAAGACCAUAGAAAUGCCGCAGAAGAUGUAUCUGGCCAAAGACUAAUCAGUUUACCUCUUGGAAUAGACUGCAUGUUGUAGCACGCGAACAGGCAACUGAUACCAUUGACCUUGGCAAGAAGAGUGAAGUCCAGUGCCAACAAAGGUAUGAUUUUGCAGCGUGGGCAUUUGUCUUACAGUCCUUCCUUCUUCCUUAUCCUCUUUCAUCAUCAAGCAAAACCUGGAAGCAUCUGAAAUCAGCACUGGCUUCUGCAAGUCUUUGAUGUAGGCACCAAUCCAUGUACCCUCUGGGAUUUCUAUAUGGAACAUACUGAUACUAAACUAUUCACCCUAAACUGGAUGCAAGACACCAUCAGAACAGAAUUGGAAGCUUCAUUCCUAAAGCUACUUUGAUGUUUAGCUGUGUUCAGUUCACCUAGAAAGAGCACUGAAGAGCUGCCAAAAGCAGACCAACCAGGCUGCCUGGCUGACAAAGCCUCUCCUCCUUCUCUGCCUUCCCAGCUACCUUCAGCCCACGGUUGACCUGAUGUGUCUUGGCCAUGCAGCACACAAGACAGAGGCAGCAAAUCCAGCAUCCAAAUAGGGAUUCCAGUAACUGGCUAAAUCUGCUUGGUGAGCUGGCUGCCAGCUGACACACUUGUGGCCAUCUGCAUCUGGAUUGUCCUGACAGUGCUCCUUCACAGCAGGACCAGACUCUUGCAAGAGUGUUUUAACUUACCUUGCCUCCCCUUUUUCCUCCCUGGAGAGGGGAGACCCUAAAACCUUGCAGGAGCUUUCUCAA
This 1696-nucleotide long non-coding RNA is filed under the name Coturnix japonica (Japanese quail). RNAcentral's name for it is "lncRNA (ENSCJPG00005016055.1)". The record is from RNAcentral. Lineage: Eukaryota; Metazoa; Chordata; Aves; Galliformes; Phasianidae.